Molecule: ribosomal RNA, 492 nt
Filed under: uncultured bacterium
Lineage: Bacteria
Description: partial 16S ribosomal RNA
Rfam family: Bacterial small subunit ribosomal RNA
Source: RNAcentral
GUUGAACGCUGGCGGCAUGCUUUACACAUGCAAGUCGAACGGUAACAGGCCUUCGGGUGCUGACGAGUGGCGCACGGGUGAGUAAUGCAUCGGAACGUACCCAGAGGUGGGGGAUAACGCAGCGAAAGCUGUGCUAAUACCGCAUGUGAUCUGAGGAUGAAAGCGGGGGACCGAGCAGCAAUGUUUGGCCUCGCGCCUUUGGAGCGGCCGAUGUCGGAUUAGCUAGUUGGUGGGGUAAAGGCCUACCAAGGCGACGAUCCGUAGCUGGUCUGAGAGGACGACCAGCCACACUGGGACUGAGGCACGGCCCAGACUCCUACGGGAGGCAGCAGUGGGGAAUUUUGGACAAUGGGCGCAAGCCUGAUCCAGCAAUGCCGCGUGCGGGAAGAAGGCCUUCGGGUUGUAAACCGCUUUUGGCAGGAACGAAACGGUGUCCGCUAAUACCGGGCGCUAAUGACGGUACCUGCAGAAUAAGCACCGGCUAACUACGUG